RNAcentral lists this ribosomal RNA (474 nucleotides) under Triticum aestivum (bread wheat). Its description in RNAcentral is "partial small subunit ribosomal RNA". The record is from RNAcentral. Lineage: Eukaryota; Viridiplantae; Streptophyta; Magnoliopsida; Poales; Poaceae.
AUGUCUUCCUCAAGCUCCCGCGCCACCUCGCGGAUGCAGAGAAGGGCGCGUGUGGACAUGCCUGUCUUCGUCUGUCCGCGGUGCUGGGCGGGCGUUGAUCGGAGGGUUUCUCACACACCGAGGAAGCAGAAUCGUCCGUUCUAUGUGUGCAGCAAGAAUGGGGUGACAUGCUUCUUUCUUUGGGUCGAUGCUCUGGCCAAGACUCUGAUGAAUGAACUGCAAGAAGAGCAUGAAGAAUGGUUGCGCAUGCUGCCACGAACGGCAGUGGCCGCAGCACGAGCUCCGGAAGAAGAGAUGGAGGGCGAAGCAUGCACUGACAGAGAGCUAGCUGUUGAGCUUAGGAUGUUGAAGAAGAAGGUUAGGAAGCUUGAACAUCAAGCACAAAUACCAAUACCCAUUUGCAAUUACUUUUGGGCAUUUGUAGGUAUGGUAAUCGCAUUGGUUGUAAUGUUGAAAAUGUAUGGAAAGGCAUGA